UUGCUCGUUGUACACUAAUUUCGUGAUUGACCAGUAGACAUCAGUUAGGUAGAUUCGCAAGUUGUUAGUGGCAGUCUAAAUUAAGUGUCUGUCUUUUAAAAGCACAGAUACAUGCGAAGGUUACGUUUAUAUCCCUAAGCGGCAAUAAGCCCAGCGGAUUGCAUCGUUUGUAUUACCAGCUGGGGUGUGUGAUAAUGCGACUUAACGAUUAUUACUCCCGUCUUCAUAGAAGCGACAGGUCCUAACCGGCUAUGAAUGAAGACCCAAUGAAGUAACCCAUUUGAAGCUAACACCAUGGUGGGUCGGAUAUUUCAGGGUGAGUAGAGCUGGACAAUAAUUCCCAAGUACUUGGUGAAGAAUAUGAGGCCCGAAGAAGAUCAAAAACGAACACGACAGAAGGUUUGCAUUUAAUGAAAAAAAAAUUUUCCCCCACAAAGUCGAAGUAAUUAAUUAAAACAGACAUUGAUAAGGGCCAGGAUAAAAAACACUCGCUGAAGCCCCAUAUUACAGUCGCAAACACCUAGAAGCGAGACUGAUCAUCCAUAAACGUAAUUUACACUGUUAUUUUUCAAUAAAAUGAAAUUAGUUCAAAUUAAACUUCAAUAAGAAGCUUUAUCUCAGAUAGAAAGGAGUUCCAUCUGGAGCACCUACAUAGUUUGAGGACAAUCUCACAAUGAUAGGUUGA
Long non-coding RNA from Varroa destructor (honeybee mite), 685 nucleotides. RefSeq lists it as uncharacterized. The record is from RefSeq and is a predicted model, not a curated record. NCBI's taxonomy places the organism in Eukaryota, Metazoa, Arthropoda, Arachnida, Mesostigmata, Varroidae.